AAGGCGCUAGCCUCCUUGAUGAUGCUUAUCUCGUGGAAGAUAUGGACAGAGUAUAACGCUAGCGUCUUUCGAAACACGGCCAUCCCUUCCGUGGUCCUAAUCUGUAAGAUCAAAGAUGAGAUGUCUUUUUGGGCACUGGCAGGUGCGAAGCACAUGAAUGUUGUAAUGCCGCGAGAGUAA
RNAcentral lists this ribosomal RNA (180 nucleotides) under Triticum aestivum (bread wheat). RNAcentral's name for it is "partial small subunit ribosomal RNA". Lineage: Eukaryota; Viridiplantae; Streptophyta; Magnoliopsida; Poales; Poaceae. The record is from RNAcentral.